RNAcentral lists this transfer RNA (83 nucleotides) under Elusimicrobiota bacterium. Its description in RNAcentral is "Elusimicrobia bacterium (anaerobic digester metagenome) tRNA-Leu". It matches the Rfam family "tRNA". Rfam says of the family: Transfer RNA (tRNA) molecules are approximately 80 nucleotides in length. Their secondary structure includes four short double-helical elements and three loops (D, anti-codon, and T loops). Lineage: Bacteria; Pseudomonadati; Elusimicrobiota. The record is from RNAcentral.
GGGCGGGUGGCGGAAUGGUAGACGCGACGGACUUAAAAUCCGUUGGCCGCAAGGCCGUGGGGGUUCGAUACCCCCCCUGCCCA